This 506-nucleotide transfer RNA is filed under the name Nodosilinea nodulosa UTEX B 2910. RNAcentral describes it as "16S-23S ribosomal RNA intergenic spacer". The stretch from base 242 to 314 matches the Rfam family "tRNA". Lineage: Bacteria; Bacillati; Cyanobacteriota; Cyanophyceae; Nodosilineales; Nodosilineaceae. The record is from RNAcentral.
UUUAGGGAGACCUACCCUUGAUAACUCCGAACCACACUGAAUUAGGAGUAUUGAGUGGUCACUCUAGGUCGGUCAGGGCUUUGAGUAGAGUUUCUAGACUAUGGUUGAGGUUUAUUUCUCACCUUUUGCUCUUGAUAGAGAAGGGUAGAGGAACAAAACCCGGGCUAUUAGCUCAGGUGGUUAGAGCGCACCCCUGAUAAGGGUGAGGUCCCUGGUUCGAGUCCAGGAUGGCCCACUGCGUGGGGGUUUAGCUCAGCUGGUAGAGCGCCUGCUUUGCAAGCAGGAUGUCAGCGGUUCGAGUCCGCUAACCUCCACCACGAAAGCAUGGGAUUGAAUUCAGCACGGUGUGUUUUGGUGAUAGCCAAGGCAUAGUCUGCUGGGUGAGAACCUAGCAAAGAACCUUGAAAACUGAAUACGAGAGAAGUGUAAGGUAGUACACACAGAACAUUCAAAGUUCGUUGAGAGAAGAGUGAACUUGAUUAGUUUUGAUUAACUAAUCGAGAGAA